Molecule: ribosomal RNA, 586 nt
Filed under: Ovatospora senegalensis
Lineage: Eukaryota; Fungi; Ascomycota; Sordariomycetes; Sordariales; Chaetomiaceae
Description: LSU rRNA
Rfam family: Eukaryotic large subunit ribosomal RNA
Source: RNAcentral
UUGCCCCAGUAACGGCGAGUGAAGCGGCAACAGCUCAAAUUUGAAAUCUGGCUUCGGCCCGAGUUGUAAUUUGUAGAGGAUGCUUUGGGCGCGGCGCCUUCUGAGUUCCCUGGAACGGGACGCCACAGAGGGUGAGAGCCCCGUAUAGUUGGACGCCUAGCCUGUGUAAAGCUCCUUCGACGAGUCGAGUAGUUUGGGAAUGCUGCUCAAAAUGGGAGGUAAAUUUCUUCUAAAGCUAAAUACCGGCCAGAGACCGAUAGCGCACAAGUAGAGUGAUCGAAAGAUGAAAAGCACUUUGAAAAGAGGGUUAAAUAGCACGUGAAAUUGUUGAAAGGGAAGCGCUUGUGACCAGACUUGCGCCGGGCUGAUCAUCCGGGGUUCUCCCCGGUGCACUCGGCCCGGCUCAGGCCAGCAUCGGUUCUCGCGGGGGGAUAAAGGCCUCGGGAACGUAGCUCCUCCGGGAGUGUUAUAGCCCGGGGCGUAAUGCCCUCGCGGGGACCGAGGUACGCGCAUCUGCAAGGAUGCUGGCGUAAUGGUCAUCAGCGACCCGUCUUGAAACACGGACCAAGGAGUCAAGGUUUUGCGC